CUACGGGACGCAGCAGUGAGGAAUAUUGCACAAUGGGGGGAACCCUGAUGCAGCAACGCCGCGUGGAGGAUGACGCAUUUCGGUGUGUAAACUCCUUUUAUAUGUCAAGAAAAUGACGGUAGCAUAUGAAUAAGCACCGGCUAACUCCGUGCCAGCAGCCGCGGUAAUACGGAGGGUGCAAGCGUUACUCGGAAUCACUGGGCGUAAAGGACGCGUAGGCGGGUUGGAAAGUCAGGUGUGAAAUCCUACAGCUUAACUGUAGAACUGCACUUGAAACUUCUAAUCUAGAGUAUGGGAGGGGGAGAUGGAAUUAGUGGUGUAGGGGUAAAAUCCGUAGAUAUCACUAGGAAUACCUAAAGCGAAGGCGAUCUCCUGGAACAUUACUGACGCUAAGGCGUGAAAGCGUGGGGAGCAAACAGGAUUAGAUACCCCAGUAGUC
RNAcentral lists this ribosomal RNA (439 nucleotides) under uncultured bacterium. Its description in RNAcentral is "partial 16S ribosomal RNA". It matches the Rfam family "Bacterial small subunit ribosomal RNA", at positions 339 to 795 of the family's 1533-position model. The record is from RNAcentral.